UACAACUCACCAGACGACGCCUACAACUCACCAGACGACGCAUACAACUCACCAGACGACGCCUACAACUCAACAGACGACACCUACAACUCACCAGACGACGCCUACAACUCACCAGACGACGCCUACAACUCACCAGACGACGCUUACAACUGAAGAGACGACGACGGCAACUGAAUUGACGAUGGCAAUACUUCUACCAACCACGUCUACAACUCAUUAAAUAACGCCAACAGAUGCCAGGUAUUUAGCUACUACUACCAUAACGAGGUCGACAAUAAGCGCGACGAGCGUUUCAGGUUGCAUCGACCUCAAUGUUCCCUAACACUGGGAUACUAUCGGACCCAAUAUUCAACAUAUUACAAUUCUGCCCAGUCCCGAUCACGCGCUGGUCUACUGUCAACCUGGCUUAAGAGCGUUUUCGGCUAACAAACACGCUUAUGCAGACCACUUUCAAAUCACUUGCAGACAUGGCGCUUGGAAGUCCCACUCCGUUUGUCAGAAUAUAGGUAAUGAUAAUUACGUGUUAACCUAAAUAUGACGGAUAGAAACUGUAGAAACUAUUCAAUGUGUAAAACCUAAAAUCAAGUGAAUUGCAGUGCGUUGCAGAGCAGUGCAUAUUAGUUCUAUUUUUAAUGUGUAUAUGUGUAAAAUAUCGAUCGAAGUAAACCAUAAGACUUCGAG
Long non-coding RNA from Dreissena polymorpha, 684 nucleotides. RefSeq lists it as uncharacterized. The transcript has 3 exons. Lineage: Eukaryota; Metazoa; Mollusca; Bivalvia; Myida; Dreissenidae. The record is from RefSeq and is a predicted model, not a curated record.